UGGCUGUUCGCCAUUUAAAGUGGUACGCGAGCUGGGUUUAGAACGUCGUGAGACAGUUCGGUCCCUAUCUGCCGUGGGCGCUGGAGAACUGAGGGGGGCUGCUCCUAGUACGAGAGGACCGGAGUGGACGCAUCACUGGUGUUCGGGUUGUCAUGCCAAUGGCACUGCCCGGUAGCUAAAUGCGGAAGAGAUAAGUGCUGAAAGCAUCUAAGCACGAAACUUGCCCCGAGAUGAGUUCUCCCUGAGACUUAGAGUCUCCUGAAGGAACGUUGAAGACGACGACGUUGAUAGGCCGGGUGUGUAAGCGCAGCGAUGCGUUGAGCUAACCGGUACUAAUGAACCGUGAGGCUUAACCUUACAACGCCGAAG
This 369-nucleotide ribosomal RNA is filed under the name Salmonella enterica subsp. enterica serovar Typhimurium. RNAcentral describes it as "bacterial LSU rRNA". It matches the Rfam family "Bacterial large subunit ribosomal RNA", at positions 2574 to 2925 of the family's 2925-position model. The record is from RNAcentral. Lineage: Bacteria; Pseudomonadati; Pseudomonadota; Gammaproteobacteria; Enterobacterales; Enterobacteriaceae.